Molecule: non-coding RNA, 73 nt
Organism: Myotis brandtii (Brandt's bat)
Lineage: Eukaryota; Metazoa; Chordata; Mammalia; Chiroptera; Vespertilionidae
Source: Rfam
ACCGAUUUGGCUCAGUGGAUAGAGCAUUGGCCUGUGGACUGAAAGGUCACAGGUUCGAUUCCUGUCAAGGGCA